AAGUGAUUUCAGAAGCAUUCGAGCUCUGGAUUUGCAUUGCUCCAUCGCAGCACGCGAGGAUGGCAGCAGCAGUUCCGCACGUGUCCUUUACGUCCUCAUCCACCAGGGCUUCCCGCCAUCGCUCACUCCCCUCCCCAGGCCUCCGAGGCCCUCCCGCCGAGCAGCCGCUCCUUCUCCCUCUCUUUCGCCUCAUCCCACAUCAUAAAAGCUGGGCAGUGGGUCUGGCCGCUGCAGAGCCCGCCUCAGAGGUGGAGCUUGGAAGACCCGAACAGGCGGCCGGGAUUCCGGGGCAGACUGAGAGCGGGCGGAGGUAGCAUCUGCUCCCUGCACAGCAGCCUUGGCGAUCCCUCACAAGUGCAGCUCGGAGCAUGCCGCUCCUCCGUGCGGAAGGUUCCACCAGCUCCCACGCCCCCAGCAUCCAAGGCACCGACUGUGGACUAUGGGACUACGGGGCUUCCCAUCAUCAGCUCCCGCUGUCUCCCUCUCAGUCAACUUUCACCUCAAAUGGUGCUUCCUCCAGAUGCCUCUCAGAGGAUUCUCCCUCACGGGAAUGGUCCCCCUGCCUCCAUACCCCUCUCAGUCUUUCACAUAUCACCCUGUUUUGUGGUCUUCAUAUCGCCGGUCGCUGAUAUUUUCUUGUUUCGUUCUUCAUUUCCCAUCUGCCUCUCCAAACGAGAGAGCAAGUUCCAUAUGAAAGCCCCUUUCCUGCUUGAACACUGCCUCCCCAGUGCCUGGUGCACCAUCUCAUUCUUAACAGAUGCUCAAUAAAUGCUUGUUGAUUGAAUGUAUGAAAACACGAAUGAAUGAUUUGGAAAGACACAUUUGCAUUCAUUUGGCUACAAUAACAGAAAAAGGACUCAGCCUGGCUUAAAGAAUGAGGACUUUCUAUUUCACAUAACAGGGUCGAAAUGUUGGGUGGAUUCCAGGUAUAGUAUGAUCAGGGCUCUGGCUUAUUUUCUCUGUGGUUGCCUCAGCCCAGCCCUCCUCAAGUGUGGGAUUUAUCCUCGGACCGGUUUCUCUCAUAGACAUGCAACGGCUGCCCACAGCAAUGGGAGCAAGAAGCUUACUUGUUCCUGCCCUGUAGGAGAGAGAGUCUUCACACCCCCCCACCCCCAAAUGAGAUGUUCUCCCCAGCCUGCCUGGGCCACCCAUUGGGAUGCCAUGUGCUGAUCGACUUAAAUCUGGAC
RNAcentral lists this long non-coding RNA (1187 nucleotides) under Equus asinus (donkey). RNAcentral's name for it is "lncRNA (ENSEASG00005025647.1)". The record is from RNAcentral. Lineage: Eukaryota; Metazoa; Chordata; Mammalia; Perissodactyla; Equidae.